ACUUGAUCCUGCAGCUGUAAGGGAGGAACCCAGCUCUGGAUUCCCAGGUCCUUACAUUCAGUGAUCAGCACUCAAAACAGACCACUGACCAUGGACUUUGGGCUCAGCUUAGUUUUCCUUCUCCUUAUUUUAAAGGGUGUCCAGUGUGAGGUGAAGCUGGUGGAGUCUGGCGGAGGCUUGGUGCAGCCUGGAAGCUCCCUAAAACUCUCUUGUGCAGCCUCUGGAUUCACUUUCUCUGACUACUGGAUGGCCUGGGUUCGCCAGGCUCCAGAGAAGGGGCUGGAGUGGGUUGCAUCCAUUACUAAUACUGGUGGUAGCACCUACUACCCAGACAGUGUGAAGGGCAGAUUCACCAUCUCCAGAGACAAUGGCAAGAACACCCUAUACCUGCAAAUGAGCAGCCCGAGGUCUGAGGACACAGCCAUGUAUUACUGUGCAAGAGGCACAAUGAGUGAAAAUUACUGUGAACUCAAACACAAACCUCCUGUGGGGGUUCAGAGAGGGCUUUGA
Molecule: non-coding RNA, 510 nt
Organism: Mastomys coucha (southern multimammate mouse)
Lineage: Eukaryota; Metazoa; Chordata; Mammalia; Rodentia; Muridae
Source: the annotation of a RefSeq genome assembly